This 2946-nucleotide ribosomal RNA is filed under the name Escherichia coli. Its description in RNAcentral is "bacterial LSU rRNA". It matches the Rfam family "Bacterial large subunit ribosomal RNA". Lineage: Bacteria; Pseudomonadati; Pseudomonadota; Gammaproteobacteria; Enterobacterales; Enterobacteriaceae. The record is from RNAcentral.
UUAAGCGACUAAGCGUACACGGUGGAUGCCCUGGCAGUCAGAGGCGAUGAAGGACGUGCUAAUCUGCGAUAAGCGUCGGUAAGGUGAUAUGAACCGUUAUAACCGGCGAUUUCCGAAUGGGGAAACCCAGUGUGAUUCGUCACACUAUCAUUAACUGAAUCCAUAGGUUAAUGAGGCGAACCGGGGGAACUGAAACAUCUAAGUACCCCGAGGAAAAGAAAUCAACCGAGAUUCCCCCAGUAGCGGCGAGCGAACGGGGAGCAGCCCAGAGCCUGAAUCAGUGUGUGUGUUAGUGGAAGCGUCUGGAAAGGCGUGCGAUACAGGGUGACAGCCCCGUACACAAAAAUGCACAUGCUGUGAGCUCGAUGAGUAGGGCGGGACACGUGGUAUCCUGUCUGAAUAUGGGGGGACCAUCCUCCAAGGCUAAAUACUCCUGACUGACCGAUAGUGAACCAGUACCGUGAGGGAAAGGCGAAAAGAACCCCGGCGAGGGGAGUGAAAAAGAACCUGAAACCGUGUACGUACAAGCAGUGGGAGCACGCUUAGGCGUGUGACUGCGUACCUUUUGUAUAAUGGGUCAGCGACUUAUAUUCUGUAGCAAGGUUAACCGAAUAGGGGAGCCGAAGGGAAACCGAGUCUUAACUGGGCGUUAAGUUGCAGGGUAUAGACCCGAAACCCGGUGAUCUAGCCAUGGGCAGGUUGAAGGUUGGGUAACACUAACUGGAGGACCGAACCGACUAAUGUUGAAAAAUUAGCGGAUGACUUGUGGCUGGGGGUGAAAGGCCAAUCAAACCGGGAGAUAGCUGGUUCUCCCCGAAAGCUAUUUAGGUAGCGCCUCGUGAAUUCAUCUCCGGGGGUAGAGCACUGUUUCGGCAAGGGGGUCAUCCCGACUUACCAACCCGAUGCAAACUGCGAAUACCGGAGAAUGUUAUCACGGGAGACACACGGCGGGUGCUAACGUCCGUCGUGAAGAGGGAAACAACCCAGACCGCCAGCUAAGGUCCCAAAGUCAUGGUUAAGUGGGAAACGAUGUGGGAAGGCCCAGACAGCCAGGAUGUUGGCUUAGAAGCAGCCAUCAUUUAAAGAAAGCGUAAUAGCUCACUGGUCGAGUCGGCCUGCGCGGAAGAUGUAACGGGGCUAAACCAUGCACCGAAGCUGCGGCAGCGACGCUUAUGCGUUGUUGGGUAGGGGAGCGUUCUGUAAGCCUGCGAANACUAUGUGUUGUUGGGUAGGGGAGCGUUCUGUAAGCCUGUGAAGGUGUACUGUGAGGUAUGCUGGAGGUAUCAGAAGUGCGAAUGCUGACAUAAGUAACGAUAAAGCGGGUGAAAAGCCCGCUCGCCGGAAGACCAAGGGUUCCUGUCCAACGUUAAUCGGGGCAGGGUGAGUCGACCCCUAAGGCGAGGCCGAAAGGCGUAGUCGAUGGGAAACAGGUUAAUAUUCCUGUACUUGGUGUUACUGCGAAGGGGGGACGGAGAAGGCUAUGUUGGCCGGGCGACGGUUGUCCCGGUUUAAGCGUGUAGGCUGGUUUUCCAGGCAAAUCCGGAAAAUCAAGGCUGAGGCGUGAUGACGAGGCACUACGGUGCUGAAGCAACAAAUGCCCUGCUUCCAGGAAAAGCCUCUAAGCAUCAGGUAACAUCAAAUCGUACCCCAAACCGACACAGGUGGUCAGGUAGAGAAUACCAAGGCGCUUGAGAGAACUCGGGUGAAGGAACUAGGCAAAAUGGUGCCGUAACUUCGGGAGAAGGCACGCUGAUAUGUAGGUGAAGUCCCUCGCGGAUGGAGCUGAAAUCAGUCGAAGAUACCAGCUGGCUGCAACUGUUUAUUAAAAACACAGCACUGUGCAAACACGAAAGUGGACGUAUACGGUGUGACGCCUGCCCGGUGCCGGAAGGUUAAUUGAUGGGGUUAGCGCAAGCGAAGCUCUUGAUCGAAGCCCCGGUAAACGGCGGCCGUAACUAUAACGGUCCUAAGGUAGCGAAAUUCCUUGUCGGGUAAGUUCCGACCUGCACGAAUGGCGUAAUGAUGGCCAGGCUGUCUCCACCCGAGACUCAGUGAAAUUGAACUCGCUGUGAAGAUGCAGUGUACCCGCGGCAAGACGGAAAGACCCCGUGAACCUUUACUAUAGCUUGACACUGAACAUUGAGCCUUGAUGUGUAGGAUAGGUGGGAGGCUUUGAAGUGUGGACGCCAGUCUGCAUGGAGCCGACCUUGAAAUACCACCCUUUAAUGUUUGAUGUUCUAACGUUGACCCGUAAUCCGGGUUGCGGACAGUGUCUGGUGGGUAGUUUGACUGGGGCGGUCUCCUCCUAAAGAGUAACGGAGGAGCACGAAGGUUGGCUAAUCCUGGUCGGACAUCAGGAGGUUAGUGCAAUGGCAUAAGCCAGCUUGACUGCGAGCGUGACGGCGCGAGCAGGUGCGAAAGCAGGUCAUAGUGAUCCGGUGGUUCUGAAUGGAAGGGCCAUCGCUCAACGGAUAAAAGGUACUCCGGGGAUAACAGGCUGAUACCGCCCAAGAGUUCAUAUCGACGGCGGUGUUUGGCACCUCGAUGUCGGCUCAUCACAUCCUGGGGCUGAAGUAGGUCCCAAGGGUAUGGCUGUUCGCCAUUUAAAGUGGUACGCGAGCUGGGUUUAGAACGUCGUGAGACAGUUCGGUCCCUAUCUGCCGUGGGCGCUGGAGAACUGAGGGGGGCUGCUCCUAGUACGAGAGGACCGGAGUGGACGCAUCACUGGUGUUCGGGUUGUCAUGCCAAUGGCACUGCCCGGUAGCUAAAUGCGGAAGAGAUAAGUGCUGAAAGCAUCUAAGCACGAAACUUGCCCCGAGAUGAGUUCUCCCUGACUCCUUGAGAGUCCUGAAGGAACGUUGAAGACGACGACGUUGAUAGGCCGGGUGUGUAAGCGCAGCGAUGCGUUGAGCUAACCGGUACUAAUGAACCGUGAGGCUUAACCUU